This 7045-nucleotide long non-coding RNA is filed under the name Eutrema salsugineum. RNAcentral describes it as "long non-coding RNA (ESAL_LNC001971)". Lineage: Eukaryota; Viridiplantae; Streptophyta; Magnoliopsida; Brassicales; Brassicaceae. The record is from RNAcentral.
UUAAAGAAAGAAUAAAAAAAAACCAAAACGAGCGAAAUGAUGCGGAACAUGGCGAGGCUGAGGAAAACGUUUGUGUGGUGGGACAUCAAGAGCUGUCCGAUUCCAGCUGGUUUCGAUCCUUGUCUGGUCGGUCGGAGAAUAGAAUCGGCGUUGAAGAAAUCAGGCUACUCUGAUCCUGUCACCAUCACUGCCGUCGGCGACCUAAGAGAGGGAAAGGGCCCUGGUGAAGACGUCCUGCGCAAGCUUUCUUCCAGUGGAAUCGCUCUUAACCAUGCCAGUGGUUAGUCUUAGUUCAUCUCUAAUUUCCAUCUCUAAAAUUCUGCUAAUUUAUAUUUUUAAUACAAGUAUAAAUGGAUUUCCCCCUUAAUUAGGGUUUAUGUUCAACGUUGCUACUUGAUGCCUUCCUUUUACUGAAACAGUACCUACAUCGAUGAAUACGACCUGGAAGGAUCCAUCUCCGCGUACUCUAAUGCUCAUAUUUGGUGGUCCUGAGGAACUGGAAUAUUUACCUCGUACACUUCGGUAUGAAUGACUACGGAUUCAGAAUUCUUCUGGCAUAUCAUCAACGAGAUCCAGCCUGGCACUCGGAAAGCUUUCUAAGUAACGUUCGUAAAGAGUGGCUCUGGAAAAGCUUACUUUCAGGUGUUCGUUUUUUUCCACUCUCAUUCUCACACUGUGUGUGUGAUCUCUCUCGUUUGAAAUAUAUGUAACCAACCAGCAAAAGCUGUUUGUUUCUGAGCUAGUUAGUUUUUUUUUCUUCUUCUACGUACAGAUGAUGAUAUGGAUUCAAGGUCUGCGGACAAUGAAGACAAGACAACAAGUAUUGUUCUUCAGGACAAGUACUCUGAAACUGGUGAAUCUCCCUGGUAUUGCGACGUAUGCUCGUUGGCUUGCAAAAGCUUUGAAGAUUUUACCACGCAUCUCAAGAGUGGAACACAUGGAUUUUCUGUAACCCUCUCUCUCUCUGCUUCUAAAUAUUUGUAUCGAUACAUUUUUUCAUUAAUUAAUUAAUGUCUUACCAAAUGCAUGUUUCCCUUUCAAAGAAGAAAUUGCACUGAUGUGCAUUUGGUUGUUGUCAAGCAGGAGUGGGACCGGUGGGCAAGUAAAAACCUUGUGGAUCGUCGUUUCCCUUCUAACUUUGAAUGGGGUCGAUCAAAGGCAAGUUUCUUCAUUAUAUCUCUCAAGUAAUUAGAUUUACUAGAAGACCCCUUUCACAACUUUACAUUAUUGUGUCAUUGCCAUACAUGUUUCCCUUUUAAAGAAUCGAUCUAUAUAUACCUCUGAUUUCCGCUUUGAUGUGCGUUUGGUUGUCAAGCAGGAGUGGGACCGGCUCAAUUGUCUAGACCUGAUGGAUUGUGUUAGUCAUAUUCCGUAUGACCCUCUAGAUUAUCCCGAGGUGGAGAGUCCAUCAAAGGCAAGUUUCUCAUGACAUACCUAAUCGUAGAUAGCUUGGUUUUGGAUUUACUGACUUUGGUUGAUGCUCUAAACAAUUCAAGGAACAAGAGUGCAAGAGUGCAACAUUCAAGGUAAGCCUCUCUCUCUCUCUCUCUCUCUCUCUCUGCUUGCUUCUAAAUAUUGUAUCGAUACAUUUUUCAUUAAUUACAGUCUUACCACAUGCAUCUUUCCCUUUCAAAGAAAAAUUGCCCUGAUGUGCAUUUGGUUGUUUUGAGCAGGAGUGGGACUUAUGGGCUAAUCAAAACAAUGUGGAUCGUUGUAACCCUGCUAACUUUGAAUGGGGUCGAUUAAAGGCAAGUUUUUUAAAUUUCUCUCAAGGUUGAUCAGAUUUAUCGUUUUUUUUUUGAAAUUUACCGUUGCGUUUAACUAGAAGACCCCUUUCACAGCUUACCUUAUUGUGUCAUUGUCACAUGUUUCCCUUUCAAAGAAUCUAUACCUCUGAUUUCCGCUUGAUGUUGCAUUUGGUUUUCAAGCAGGAGUGGGACCGGCUCAACUGUCAAGACCUGUUGGAACGUAUUCGUCUUCGGUAUUACCCUCUAGACACUACCCAGGUGGAGAGUCCAUCACAGGCAAGUUUCUGAGAUACCUAAUCUUUUUAGUAUUAUUCACCAUUGAGUUCCAGCUAGAUGUGAAUGUAGAUAGCUUGUUUUUGGAUUUUACUGACUUUGGUUGAUGCUCUAAAACAUUCAAGGAACAAGAGUGCAGCAGUAGCAAGACUGAAGAAGAAGCUGAAGUAGAGGACCCGAAUUGCUCAUCUAGAGGAUGACACUGAAAUAGGCGAUGAAGAUGAGUACAUGGCUCAUGAAUAUGGUUAAUGGUUAAUGGUUUGUUCUACUUGUAGUGGGAACAAACAGAAGAAAUGUAGUUCCAAUAUAGGUAAUAAAAACCUGAAAUUUAUACAUUUGUAAGAUUUCUCGUCUGCUUUGAACACGUAGUUUGAUCACCUCCCAAAGUCUUGCUAGACAAAUUAACCGCCCUUCUAUCAAGUUCUAACUUCUAACUAUCAUCUAUCAGAUCAAAUACAUCAAAGUUGUUCUUCACAAAGGUGAAGAUGAAGAUUAAGAGUACAUGGCCCAUGGGGUCCCUAACUCUGAGACUGUUGAGAAAUGUACUGGUAACAACAUAAUUACUGUUAGGGCAACAAGAAUCUUGUACAUACUGAUGAGGUUAGGUAUAUUUGAUCCACAGGUUGCACAGGAAGAGGAGAAGUAGUAUGUCCAACGUGCAACGCCGAUGGUGAGCCAGGGUUUUACAAGGAGAAUCAGAUGAUGAAGUGUUCAUCUUGCUAUGGAAGAGGUUUGAUUGCUCAUAAAGAUGGAUCCGACACAAUGUAAGUUCAUAUCAACAACUCAACUUUCACAUUGAUGGUUGCAAACUGUAGCUCCUAUCUAAAGAAAACCUUCUCUUCUCCACAGAUGCGCUGCUUGUAACGGUAAGGGAAAGCUUCCUUGCCCAAUUUGCCAGUCUCGCGGAUUAAUCAAAUGUCAGUCUUGUAACGGUACUGGUUCUCUUCUAACAAGCAGUAUCGCAGUUGUGAGAUGGUAAGUUUUUCUCAAAUGGCUUUGACCAGCAAUUGAAAUUGGCUAUGAGUGGCUAUUGAAAGAUUUGCUUUCUUGACAGGAAGACUUUCUCGAAGCGAAAGGUGAGUGCAACAAGAGGAGCUGGUUUGGUACCAGAAGAGAUAUUUCACAGAGCAGAAGGAGUUUCAGCCAGCUUACUUUGCAGACUCAUAUUUCCUCAACAAAUUCUCCUCAGAGGUCAUCUCGUUGAGAGCUGAAGUUCCACCAACGGCGAAUGUGGUCUGCGAGAUACACACCAGAUCUGUUGUGCCGUGGGAAAGCCUUCAGCUUUUACAUAAUCGGUUUUGGUAAAGAGAUUUACAUGAAAGAUUAUUAUCCAGCAAGGUUCUGCUGGGGUUUGUGUCCUUGUCUUUAGUGGUUAAAGGUUUGAAAACCAGAGUUGAUUUUUGAUCAUCUCGACUUGUUAGUACAGAAACUGAGAGAGAGAGAGAUUGCUUGUAUACAGAGCGGUUAUUGUGUUGUGUAUAUAAUAUUGUGGCCAAAUACUUAAUUAAAUCUGGAACUUGAGAGUUUAAAGAAAGCACACAAAUUUCUCCAACUUACUAAUAUGUCAUUGUAUUUAAAGAAACUUACUAGCUUUAGUUUAAUAUUUGAAAUUCAAAUACUAAUAUCUUAUUGUAUUUUUUAAUUAUAUUCAUUCAUACUAAAAUUUCACAUACUAGAUUUUUGUUUUUUGGGUUUUUAAUGUUAUGCUUGAUCUACACAUAGGAUGAGGAAUCCACAUAGGAAGGUAAAAUACUCGAAAAUGAUGAUUAUCCAAAAAAGUUGAAAAUAUUUGAUAGGAUUCAUUUUUUAUAUUUUCUAGUAAGUGUAAGGAAAAAUGCGCUAAAUUUCAUUUUAGUAGCAGUUUUACAUAUUUAUUCUCAAAUACAUGAUCGAAUCAUUGUGAAUCUUUAAAAUUUUAUCAGUGAUCAUGUUUUAUUCUACAUAAAAGAUUAAAACUCUAAUUUAAAGUCAUAUCUGAUCUCAUCACUUCAUAGUUUAGGCAAAGAUAAAUUUGGUCUGUUUGUAUAAGAUUAUAGCUACUUACAUGGAAACAGUAAAGUUUUAUUUCUUAACGUAAAAUGCAAUUACAAGAAGAAAACAUAGAAACUUUAGUUUCAUAUGAAAUCUCUUGUGUUUAUUGAAAAUUUGGUGAAUAAUUAAGUUAUGUCUUGAAGAAAAAACUAAAAGCUGCUAGAAUAUGUAUAAAAUGAUAUUUAAACUUAAACAUAUCAUCUUCACUUUACAAGUAAUGAAGUAAACAAGUGAAAACUUUUAUUCUUAAACACGUGACAACUUUCUCCCAAAUCGUUUGAAAAGAUGUGUCAUGAGAAUUGCCCAAAAUCUGCAUUUUUGUGUUUUCUUAAUAAAUAUCCAUAUAGUUUUAGUGGAAAACAGAACUUUGAUUAUGUUGAUAUAUAUGUUGAAAUCUCAUAAUUUCUUAAUAAAUGGUUGUAUAUUCGGCUUGGAUUGAAUCCACUAUGAUCGGUUUCGAAUUGAAUUUAGUUUCAAAUUUUAAAAUUUUUAAUCAGUACACCAAUAGGUUCAUAUACACAAUUUACGUCGGCUUUGGUUUAAAUAUUUUAGUGCGUCGGAGUUGUAUUUUUAGUUAAGGUUUUUUCAGACUCAUGUAUUAAUGGUUCAAAGUGGGUUAAAUUGUCCUAACCAGCUACCUGCCUUGAUUUGAAUAUAAACUUUGAAUUUUUGGUUAUCUUGCUUAAUGUGAAUCCACUAAAAUCGGUUUCAAAUUGAGUUUAUUUUUGAAUUUUUGGAUUUUUUAAUCAACGACACUAAUAGUUUCAUAAAAAAAUACCACGACCACUAAUCGUGGAAUGUGAAGAUCUUUAAACAUAGAACCAAGUACCAACAUAUAAAUAAUCAAAAGAUUCGAUGAAAAAAUGAGACUCUAAAGACUUUGGAAUAGAAAAGUACAUGCUUAACUUUAGAUUUUUUUUUUUUUGGUUAUUUAAUGUUAUGCUUGAUCAUACAUCCAAAUCUACUGAGGAUUCCUCAUCCUAGGAAGGUGAAAUACUCGAAAAUGAUGAUUAUCCAAAAAAGUUGAAAAAUACCUGAUAGGAUUCAUUUUAAAUUUUCUAGUAAGUGUAAGCAAAAAUGCACUAAAGUUCAUUUUAGUAGCAAUUCUACAUAUUUAUUCUCAAAUACAAGAUCAAAUCAUUGUGAAUCUUUAAAAUUUUAUCAGUGAUCAUGUUUUAUACUACAUAAAAGAUUAAAACUCUAAUUCAAAGUCAUAUCUCAUCUCAUCACUUCAUAGUUUAGGCAAAGAUAAAUUUGGUCUGUUUGUAUAAGAUUAUAGCUACUUAUAUGGAAACAGUAAAGUUUUAUUUCUUAACGUAAAAUGCAAUUACAAGAAGAAAACAUAAAAACUUUAGUUUCAUAUGAAAUAUGUUGUGUUUAUUGAAAAUUUGGUGAAUAAUUAAGUUAUGUCUUGAAGAAAAAACUAAAAGCUGCUAGAGUAUGUAUAGAAUGAUAUUUAAACUUAAACAUAUCAUUUUCACCAUACAAGGAAUGAAGUAAACAAGUGAAAACUUUUAUUCUUAAACACGUGAUAACUUUCUCCCAAAUCGUUUGAAAAAAUAUGUCAUGAGAUUGCCUAAAAUCUGCAUUUUUGUGUUUUCUUAAUAAAUAUCCAUAUAUUUUUAGUGGAAAACAGAACUUUGAUUAUGUUGAUAUAUAAAAGCUUAAUUUUCUACUUACCUAUAUCAAAGAUUGAUUUUUUUUUUGUUGAAAACCUAGUUUUGAUUUUGUAGAUGAAAAAACUUUGGAAGGCUUGUUUUUUUCUUAAAUCUACUGAAGACUUGGCACAUACACUAAUUCGACCAAAACUUUGGAUGAGAAAUUAUUUGAAGCUAACUUUGGAGAAACAAAUUUCCAACUAUCAGUUGGACAAUUUUCAUUAAUUUCUAUUUAAACUUCUCUUAAACAAAUUUUUAAAAACCAUCAUUAACCAAAACAACACCAGUUUAUUUUACUUUUUUUUCGACACCAUUUUAUUUUACUUUAAAAUGAUAAAAUUCAUAAAUUGAUGUGUAAAUCCUUAAAUCAUGUUUUUCUCGAAAUCAAAAAUAGUCUUACUCCAAGUUCUUCUUCAUUCUCUUUUUAAAUUCCAAAUUUAUGUCAUAGUAAACCUGCAGACUUCAGAGGUGUUUUCUAUAUUAAAUUUCAUAUUAUAAAGGUGAAGAUGAAUAAGAGAAUCAGAAUUAGAAAAUCGAUUUGAAGGUUUCUCGAUUUUCAGCUAAAAGUGAGAGAUCGAUGUGCAGAAAAAUUGAUUUGGGGCUAUAUUCGAUUUAGGUUUAAAUUGGGGAUUUUUGAUUAUAAUCAAAAUGGUGUUUUUUUUGGUUGAAUAACGAUUUUAUCUGGAAUUUAAUGCUAUCUAAUGGAUAUGUUAAGCUAGUUUAGGAUGAGUUUAUAUUGGCAUGAUUAACAAAAGUAAGAAACUCAUGUGUCUUGAAAAGAGUUUAUAAUUUAUUAGGCUGAAAUGUUUUACAUUGAGGGUUUUUUAUAACGAAGCCCAAAAAAGCAAAGAAAAGCCCAAAAUUAUAAAAAAAAAACAUUGAGGGUUUUUUUAGCAAUUUUUCAAAAUUAGUUCCUCUCUCCCCCGCCGCUUCUCUCUGGGUUUCGGAUCCCACUAUAUAUAAGCGAGGUCGGUGAUUUUUAUUUAACCGUGUCAAUCUCUCCGAUGUUUAUCUGAUGUUUACGUUCUAGAUCGGUAGCUGCGAUUUCGUUUUCCCAAAUUUGAAUCGGAUCUGAUUUUUUUUUAGGUUGAAGAAGAAUAUAAAAAAACAAAUAGGAGCGAAAUGAUGCGGAACAUGGCGAUGCUGAGGAGAACUUUUGUGUGGUGGAACAUCGACAGCUGUCCGAUUCCAGCUGGUUUCGAUCCUUGUCUGGUCAGUCCGAGGAUUGAAUCGGCGUUGAAGAAAUCAGGCUACUCUGAUCCUGUCACCAUCACUGCCGUCGGCGACCUAAGAGAGGGAAAGGGCCCUGGUGAAGACGUCCUGCGCAAGCUUUCU